GGGCCCGCACAAGCAGCGGAGCAUGUGGUUUAAUUCGAAGCAACGCGAAAAGAACCUUACCAAGGCUUGACAUCCUACUAAACUCAUGGAAACAUGAGGUCCCUUCGGGGGAGUAGAGACAGGUGGUGCAUGGUUGUCGUCAGCUCGUGUCGUGAGAUGUUGGGUUAAGUCCCGCAACGAGCGCAACCCUUAUUACCAGUUACCAGCGGGUUAUGCCGGGGACUCUGGUGAGACUGCCGGGGACAACUCGGAGGAAGGUGGGGACGACGUCAAAUCAUCAUGCCCCUUAUGUCUUGGGCUACACACGUGCUACAAUGGCUGAAACAAAGGGAAGCAACCUCGUAAGAGGAAGCGGAUCUCAUAAAAACAGUCCCAGUUCGGAUUGUGGGCUGCAACCCGCCCACAUGAAGUCGGAGUUGCUAGUAAUCGCGGAUCAGCAUGCCG
Molecule: ribosomal RNA, 444 nt
Filed under: uncultured Bacillota bacterium
Lineage: Bacteria; Bacillati; Bacillota
Description: bacterial SSU rRNA
Rfam family: Bacterial small subunit ribosomal RNA
Source: RNAcentral